This 253-nucleotide ribosomal RNA is filed under the name uncultured bacterium. RNAcentral describes it as "partial 16S ribosomal RNA". It matches the Rfam family "Bacterial small subunit ribosomal RNA", at positions 524 to 776 of the family's 1533-position model. The record is from RNAcentral.
UACGUAGGGUGCGAGCGUUGUCCGGAAUUAUUGGGCGUAAAGAGCUCGUAGGCGGUCUGUCGCGUCGAAUGUGAAAACCCGGGGCUCAACUCCGGGCUUGCAUUCGAUACGGGCAGGCUAGAGUUCGGUAGGGGAGUCUGGAAUUCCUGGUGUAGCGGUGAAAUGCGUAGAUAUCGGGAGGAACACCGGUGGCGAAGGCGGGUCUCUGGGCCGAUACUGACGCUGAGGAGCGAAAGCGUGGGGAGCGAACAGG